GACAGAGGGUGCAAGCGUUGUUCGGAAUUACUGGGCGUAAAGCGCGUGUAGGCUGCUCAGAAAGUCGGGUGUGAAAGCCCUGGGCUUAACCCAGGAAGUGCACUCGAAACCUCUGAGCUUGAGUUCUGGAGAGGAAGGCGGAAUUCUCGGUGUAGAGGUGAAAUUCGUAGAUAUCGAGAGGAACACCGGUGGCGAAGGCGGCCUUCUGGACAGUGACUGACGCUGAGACGCGAAAGCGUGGGGAGCAAACAGG
RNAcentral lists this ribosomal RNA (253 nucleotides) under uncultured bacterium. RNAcentral describes it as "partial 16S ribosomal RNA". It matches the Rfam family "Bacterial small subunit ribosomal RNA", at positions 524 to 776 of the family's 1533-position model. The record is from RNAcentral.